RNAcentral lists this signal recognition particle RNA (148 nucleotides) under Gorilla gorilla gorilla (western lowland gorilla). RNAcentral describes it as "Metazoan signal recognition particle RNA". It matches the Rfam family "Metazoan signal recognition particle RNA". Rfam says of the family: The signal recognition particle (SRP) is a universally conserved ribonucleoprotein. Lineage: Eukaryota; Metazoa; Chordata; Mammalia; Primates; Hominidae. The record is from Rfam by way of RNAcentral.
GCUGGGUGUGGUGGUGCACACCUGUAGUCCCAGCUACUCGGGAGGCUGAGGCAGGAGAAUGGCAUGAACCUGGGAGGCGGGGCUUGCAGUGAGCCCAGAUUGGGCCACUGUACUCCCGCCUGGGUGACAGAGCAAGACUCUGUCUCAA